AGCUAGCUAGCAGCUAGAGUGGUGCUAGUUGGUGCAAGUGCAAUGCAAAGGAAGGACCGGUCGGAGGCGGUGCCGUACAUACGUCCGUCAACCCCACACCCCUCGCUGUCAUGGUGGUGACUUGCAAGCGAGAAGAGAGAGAGAGAGAGCGUGCCCAUGAGUGAUGGGCUCUUUGGGGCGACCGCGCAGGGAAGGAAGGAAGCUAGACCCUGUCGUGCAUGCAUGGUUGAUGGUUGACACUUUGAUGUAUGGAUCAUCCGGUCUUGGAAAAGGAAGCAAGCAACAGCAACUGCCAUACUAGCUAUGGUGGUAUAGUAGUGGUAGUACCCCACCCCCUCUGCUGUAGAGAGCUGGGAGAACUCUCAUCUCAAAUGGGGUGGUGGCGUGUGCGAGCUCCCAAGAUCUCU
RNAcentral lists this long non-coding RNA (407 nucleotides) under Hordeum vulgare. RNAcentral describes it as "long non-coding RNA (HVUL_LNC007945)". The record is from RNAcentral. Lineage: Eukaryota; Viridiplantae; Streptophyta; Magnoliopsida; Poales; Poaceae.